RNAcentral lists this ribosomal RNA (253 nucleotides) under uncultured bacterium. RNAcentral describes it as "partial 16S ribosomal RNA". It matches the Rfam family "Bacterial small subunit ribosomal RNA", at positions 524 to 776 of the family's 1533-position model. The record is from RNAcentral.
UACGUAGGGGGCAAGCGUUGUCCGGAAUCAUUGGGCGUAAAGAGCGUGUAGGCGGCUUGGCAAGUCUGACGUGAAAUCCCGCGGCUCAACCGCGGUCGGUCGUUGGAAACUGCCUGGCUAGAGUCCGGAAGAGGAGAGCGGAAUUCCUGGUGUAGCGGUGGAAUGCGCAGAUAUCAGGAGGAACACCCGUGGCGAAGGCGGCUCUCUGGGACGGUACUGACGCUGAGACGCGAAAGCGUGGGGAGCGAACAGG